This 244-nucleotide ribosomal RNA is filed under the name uncultured bacterium. RNAcentral's name for it is "partial 16S ribosomal RNA". It matches the Rfam family "Bacterial small subunit ribosomal RNA", at positions 524 to 767 of the family's 1533-position model. The record is from RNAcentral.
UACGAAGGUCCCGAGCGUUGUUCGGAAUCACUGGGCGUAAAGGGAGCGUAGGCGGCGCGGUAAGUCAGAUGUGAAAUCCCGGGCUCAACCCCGGAACUGCAUCCGAUACUGCCGUGCUAGAGGAUUGGAGAGGUAGCUGGAAGUUCUUGGUGUAGCAGUGAAAUGCGUGGAGAUCAAGAGGAACACUCGUGGCGAAAGCGAGCUACUGGACAAUAUCUGACGCUGAGGCUCGAAGGCCAGGGUA